UACAGGGGGGGCUAGCGUUACUUAACGUUACUUGGCGUAAAGGGCACGUAGACGAUUUUUGUAUAGUUAAGCUUGAAAUCCUUGCUUUGCAAGAAGAGGGCUUAAAACUUAAAAAUUAGAGUUUAUUAGAGGAUGAUGGAAUUUCCAAUGUAGUGGUACAAUGCGGCGAUAUUGGGAGGAAUGUUCGAGGUGAACACGAUCAUCUGGUUUAAACUGACGUUCAGGUGCGAAGGUAUGGGGAUCAAGCGGG
This 250-nucleotide ribosomal RNA is filed under the name uncultured bacterium. RNAcentral's name for it is "partial 16S ribosomal RNA". It matches the Rfam family "Bacterial small subunit ribosomal RNA", at positions 524 to 776 of the family's 1533-position model. The record is from RNAcentral.